UAAAGUAUACAUCUACCCACCCUUUCACUAAAUACCCCAAAUAUCUAUUUAGAAAUUAUUACAUACCAACAAAUUAAUUGCAUAAAUUAAAUAAAAAACCAAGAAGCUAUUCCAUAGAGAGCUCGCAAUCCGGCCCAAGUUGCCCAAAGCUUCCAAUGGUCUUUCAAGCCUCAUUUCCAUAGAAAAAUAAGAGUAUAAGUGCAUCAAAGUUCCCUAAGGGUCUCAAGGACCCCGGGCAAUGCCUACACCUAGACUUAAUAGCCAAGCGUUGAACCUGUGCAGUGUGAAAAGCCAGCCUCAGUAUGCCAGAGUUCCAAGGGUCUCAAGGGCAUCCCAAGGCAGUAGACAUACUAGAGGGGCCAGAACUUAUUAAUUAGGAGUAGAGUGAAAGUGCAGGACACAUGUUUGAAAUAAGUUUAUUAAAGACUGGACUGAAAGGUCUAUUUUGAAAGCAAUUGGUAACAGAGAUAAUUGAAAAGAAGUUUAGUAAAAAGAGUUCAGACACUCCAGGAUAAGACCAGACAUAGCAAGUGGAUGACUUCCGUUAUCUCACAUGGGUUAAGGGGUUUGGGGAUACACAUACAUUGACUGUAGACACAUGACCUCAACAGGAGUAUUAGGACUGGUAUGGACAUGCUCAGAGAUAGUCUGACACUGGCAUAAUCACAAACCACUUAUGAAUACACAAAAGGGAGUGGGGAUUUGGGAUUCACGAAAUCGUAAGUGCACAAUAGGUAAAAAAAUACAAUUGUCCAGGCAUGCUAGAAUCACACAAGGGAAUACAUGAAUUUAAAGGGAGGGGAGUCAUACUAGCAUGCUUAGCUACAAAUUUCACAACAAAACCAUAAGUAAAAGCAGGCUAGAAAUAAAAGCAACUGAAACAAGAAGAGAAACAUGUUGUUGUUGAGACUUUAAAUUAAACUAGGACAUACCAGUGAAGACAAAGUGGGCAGAAUCAAUGAACGAAAGAAUAUAGCUGAUUAGCCUUGGCUUAGAGCCAUCCAAAAAUAGUAGAAUAACAAAGAUUUUAAGUAGGAGAGGGGUUUCUUGAAAGCCAAGUGUGUGUCUAUUGUUUGUGAAAGACUUAGAGUAUUUAUAGUUUAAAGUAGGUAGUGGAAUAAGGUAAAAAUCAUAAUAAUAUACUAAUUUAAGUACUCAGAAUCAAUCAUCUAGAGAAUCAAGCAGAAUGAAAGAAUAGAAGAGUACAGAUGAUUAGAGGUUGAAAUUAGAUAGUGGAAUAAGGUAAAAAUCACAGUAGUAUACUAAUUUAAGAACUCAGAAUCAAUCACUUCAGAGAAUCAAGGAAGUACUUCCUUGAGUUAAGGGGGUCAAGGCCAAACAAAAUGAUUCAGUACCAUAUAAGGGGAAAGAAGAGUCAGUGCAUGAUUAAAUAAGGAAAGGAGCCAGAGUUCAUUACAUAUAAAGUAGUCAAUUAGGACCAAAUUCAGAAAGACCCAAUUAAGGAAAGGUUAAGUAAAACAAAGUAGCAUGGUAAAUAAGGUAAUAAAAUCAGUUAAUUCAAACAGACGAGUAGAAUUCUAGGGCUUUGAAGGAAAAUCUUUCAAUUACCAAAAGUUAAAGAAAAUCAGAAUCAAUCACGAGGAGUCAUGAUUAUGCAUACCUCAAUAUAUAAAUAGAGACGAUUGAACAGAAGUAGCAAACAUACAAGUUCAGUUAUAUAGGCAGAAAGAAACAAGAGAUGAGAAAACACAGUCAUGUAGAGGUGAUGUAAGUAGGUUAGAGAUUCAGCAGAAUAUAUUCGAUGCACGGUAACUAUGAGAGAUUAACAAGACCAAGGCACAGAAAAUUAUGCUAACACAUAGAGCCAUGGAAAAGAGAAUCAUGCCAACCACGAGACCGAAAAUGAAGAAAAUCAUGCUAACACACAGAAGCAGAGUAAAAAAAACCAAGCUAACACAUAGAAACAAGUAAAGAAAAUCAGGCCAACACACAGAAACAAGUAAAAAAAAUCAUGCUAACUCACAGAAAUAAGUAAAGAAAUCUUUAUAAAAAAUUAGGGCUUUUUAUUAGAGUUGAGUUAAAAAGUAGUAAGAACAUAGAAUCGGUCAAGAUAAAAAAGGGAGAAAGGUUUCAUAAAGAAAUCAGUCGAAAUAGGUAUAGAAGGAACUCCAAAAAACCCUUGUUUUCAAAGGGAAAAAAACGGUCUAGAGUAGAAGAUAUUUAAGAAGAAAGCCGAGAACAAGCAAAUCAUAUAAGGAAAUAGGCUUAACGCAUGAAAAUAAUAUAGAUCUAAGAUAUUCAAGAGGGAGUUAGGGUAUUAAAAGGAAACCCAAGUAAAAAUCAAAAGAACCUGUUGUAACUUCACUGAUCGUGACAUAUAAGGUGUGAUUUUGCCGAAAAUCACACUGGAGAACCCAUAAGUGACAGAAACAGAAACCCUGGGUCCAAAUCGAUUGGCCUAGGAUCCUUGAUGGCCUUAGAGAUGAUGAGCAGGGUGAUGAGAGACCUAUUGGAGGCUUUGGUUUAAAAGUAUAGUCACCGGAGAUGACUAGAUAUGGAGGGGAGUGGAGGAGUUUAGGGUUAGGUUUGAUAGAAGAGUGGAGAUGAGAGAACAUCUGAAG
This 2582-nucleotide long non-coding RNA is filed under the name Nicotiana benthamiana. RNAcentral's name for it is "long non-coding RNA (NBEN_LNC042481)". Lineage: Eukaryota; Viridiplantae; Streptophyta; Magnoliopsida; Solanales; Solanaceae. The record is from RNAcentral.